Molecule: ribosomal RNA, 260 nt
Filed under: uncultured Glomus
Lineage: Eukaryota; Fungi; Glomeromycota; Glomeromycetes; Glomerales; Glomeraceae
Description: partial 18S ribosomal RNA
Rfam family: Eukaryotic small subunit ribosomal RNA
Source: RNAcentral
AAGCGUCGUAAGUUGAAUUUCGGGGUUAGUAGGUUGGUCAUGCCUCUGGUAUGUACUGGUCUCACUGAUUCCUCCUUCCUGAUGAACCGUAAUGCCAUUAAUUUGGUGUUGCGGGGAAUUUGGACUGUUACUUUGAAAAAAUUAGAGUGUUUAAAGCAAGCUAACGCUUGAAUACAUUAGCAUGGAAUAAUGAAAUAGGACGUUCGAUCCUAUUUUGUUGGUUUCUAGGAUUGACGUAAUGAUUAAUAGGGAUAGUUGGG